GAAGAAGUAGAAAGUGAAAAUAGUUCUUGCUUUUUGUUUCUAAGUGGUUCAUAAUAGCGGGCUACACUACUGAGAAGUGAAGUGGUUUUGUAGUGAGUUUGAAGGGAAUUUUUGAAGUGAGUGAGAAAAGAAAUUUUCGAGCUGUUGCAAAAAAGCCUUGACAACAAAAACCAGAUGCUUCAUAAUCUCGUUUCUCUGCUGAUGACACACAACAGUGUGACAGCGGCAAGAUAAGAGAAAGUAGUAAAGCAGUACAGAAUUUAGCGGUAUGCGAUUCUUACUAUAACUAGUAUGAACGCCGAAUGUGACAGCGCAAUGUCACCGCUUACUCCAGUGGGAGCUAAGAAGAAAUGUUCUUUAACAACUAACAGCCGAUAAGUGUGGGCGCUUGGAAUGAGUGCGCAACAUGGUCUAUCCGGGGGUACCUGGUUAGAUUGUGAUGCUAACAAUAUAUAUUUUAGGCGCUCACUUGAAAUACAGAAGUAAGGUUUAUAUCACUAUAAACGUUAUUUCUUUUGAGUGAAGCAGCGACCAUUUACCUAUUUAAACAGUUAAAUGGCAAUUAAACAGAGAUUAAACUGAAGAGUUUGAUCCUGGCUCAGAUUGAACGCUAGCGGGAUGCCUUACACAUGCAAGUCGAACGGCAGCGGGAAAGUAGCUUGCUACUUUUGCCGGCGAGUGGCGAACGGGUGAGUAAUGUAUCGGAACGUGCCCAGUAGCGGGGGAUAACUACGCGAAAGCGUGGCUAAUACCGCAUACGCCCUACGGGGGAAAGGGGGGGAUCUUAGGACCUCUCACUAUUGGAGCGGCCGAUAUCGGAUUAGCUAGUUGGUGGGGUAAAGGCCUACCAAGGCGACGAUCCGUAGCUGGUUUGAGAGGACGACCAGCCACACUGGGACUGAGACACGGCCCAGACUCCUACGGGAGGCAGCAGUGGGGAAUUUUGGACAAUGGGGGAAACCCUGAUCCAGCCAUCCCGCGUGUGCGAUGAAGGCCUUCGGGUUGUAAAGCACUUUUGUCAGGGAAGAAAAGGUUUCGGAUAAUACCCGGAACUGAUGACGGUACCUGAAGAAUAAGCACCGGCUAACUACGUGCCAGCAGCCGCGGUAAUACGUAGGGUGCAAGCGUUAAUCGGAAUUACUGGGCGUAAAGCGUGCGCAGGCGGUUCGGAAAGAAAGAUGUGAAAUCCCAGGGCUCAACCUUGGAACUGCAUUUUUAACUACCGAACUAGAGUAUGUCAGAGGGGGGUGGAAUUCCACGUGUAGCAGUGAAAUGCGUAGAUAUGUGGAGGAACACCGAUGGCGAAGGCAGCCCCCUGGGAUAAUACUGACGCUCAUGCACGAAAGCGUGGGGAGCAAACAGGAUUAGAUACCCUGGUAGUCCACGCCCUAAACGAUGUCAACUAGCUGUUGGGCCCUUCGGGGCUUAGUAGCGCAGCUAACGCGUGAAGUUGACCGCCUGGGGAGUACGGUCGCAAGAUUAAAACUCAAAGGAAUUGACGGGGACCCGCACAAGCGGUGGAUGAUGUGGAUUAAUUCGAUGCAACGCGAAAAACCUUACCUACCCUUGACAUGUCUGGAAUCCUGAAGAGAUUUAGGAGUGCUCGCAAGAGAACCGGAACACAGGUGCUGCAUGGCUGUCGUCAGCUCGUGUCGUGAGAUGUUGGGUUAAGUCCCGCAACGAGCGCAACCCUUGUCAUUAGUUGCUACAUUUAGUUGAGCACUCUAAUGAGACUGCCGGUGACAAACCGGAGGAAGGUGGGGAUGACGUCAAGUCCUCAUGGCCCUUAUGGGUAGGGCUUCACACGUCAUACAAUGGUCGGGACAGAGGGUUGCCAAACCGCAAGGUGGAGCUAAUCUCAUAAACCCGAUCGUAGUCCGGAUUGCAGGCUGCAACUCGCCUGCAUGAAGUCGGAAUCGCUAGUAAUCGCGGAUCAGCAUGUCGCGGUGAAUACGUUCCCGGGUCUUGUACACACCGCCCGUCACACCAUGGGAGUGGGUUUUACCAGAAGUAGUUAGCCUAACCGCAAGGGGGGCGAUUACCACGGUAGGAUUCAUGACUGGGGUGAAGUCGUAACAAGGUAGCCGUAUCGGAAGGUGCGGCUGGAUCACCUCCUUUA
Molecule: ribosomal RNA, 2119 nt
Filed under: Advenella incenata
Lineage: Bacteria; Pseudomonadati; Pseudomonadota; Betaproteobacteria; Burkholderiales; Alcaligenaceae
Description: bacterial SSU rRNA
Rfam family: Bacterial small subunit ribosomal RNA (bases 576-2118)
Source: RNAcentral